GAUGAAGAACGUAGCGAAAUGCGAUAAGUAGUGUGAAUUGCAGACUUUAGUGAAUCAUCGAAUCUUUGAACGCACAUUGCGCCCCUUGGUAUUCCAUUGGGCAUGCCUGUUCGAGCGUCAUUUACACCCUCAAGCCUAGCUUGGUGUUGGGCGUUGUCCGCAAGGACUCGCCUCAAAUUCAUUGGCAGCGGCAUCGUCAGCUUCUCGCGCAGCACAUUGCGCUUCAGAAGGCUUCAGGCGGGCUCGCGUCCACUAAGAUACCACCCAGUUUGACCUCGAAUCAGGUAGGGAUACCCGCUGAACUUAAGCAUAUCAAUAAGCGGAGGA
Molecule: unclassified non-coding RNA, 327 nt
Filed under: soil metagenome
Description: partial contains 5.8S ribosomal RNA, internal transcribed spacer 2, and large subunit ribosomal RNA
Rfam family: 5.8S ribosomal RNA (bases 1-120)
Source: RNAcentral